This 232-nucleotide long non-coding RNA is filed under the name Homo sapiens (human). RNAcentral's name for it is "HSALNT0180815". Lineage: Eukaryota; Metazoa; Chordata; Mammalia; Primates; Hominidae. The record is from RNAcentral.
UUCCUCAUCUUGUACUGGAGAAAAUUCUUGUGAGUCUCACUAUGAAAAACUGUAAAGCUGCAAUGAAUUUUUUCCAAAGCGUGCCAGAAUGAGUAGAAGAACUAUUUCUUCAGACAACUUUUGACAAGAUGGACUUUUUAACCAUUGUGAGAGAAUGUGGUAUAGAAAAGCACCAGUCCAGUAUUGGCUUCUCUGUCCACCAGAAUCUCAAGGAAUCACUGGAUCGCUGUCU